GACGAACGCUGGCGGCGUGCUUAACACAUGCAAGUCGAACGGAAAGGCCCUGCUUUUGUGGGGUGCGCGAGUGGCGAACGGGUGAGUAACACGUGAGUAACCUGCCCUUGACUUUGGGAUAACUUCAGGAAACUGGGGCUAAUACCGGAUAGGAGCUCCUGCUGCAUGGUGGGGGUUGGAAAGUUUCGGCGGUUGGGGAUGGACUCGCGGCUUAUCAGCUUGUUGGUGGGGUAGUGUCUUACCAAGGCUUUGACGGGUAGCCGGCCUGAGAGGGUGACCGGCCACAUUGGGACUGAGAUACGGCCCAGACUCCUACGGGAGGUAGCAGUGGGGAAUAUUGCACUAUGGGCGGAGGCCUGAUGCAGCAAAGCAGCGUGCGGGAUGACGGCCUUCGGGUUGUAAACCGCUUUCGCCUGUGACGAAGCGUGAGUGACGGUAAUGGGUAAAGAAGCACCGGCUAACUACGUG
Molecule: ribosomal RNA, 468 nt
Filed under: uncultured bacterium
Lineage: Bacteria
Description: partial 16S ribosomal RNA
Rfam family: Bacterial small subunit ribosomal RNA
Source: RNAcentral